This 167-nucleotide ribosomal RNA is filed under the name Oidiodendron sp. Its description in RNAcentral is "partial large subunit ribosomal RNA". It matches the Rfam family "Eukaryotic large subunit ribosomal RNA", at positions 99 to 261 of the family's 3401-position model. The record is from RNAcentral. Lineage: Eukaryota; Fungi; Ascomycota; Leotiomycetes; Myxotrichaceae.
CGGGAAAAGCUCAAAUUUAAAAUCUGGCGGUCUCUGGCCGUCCGAGUUGUAAUUUGGAGAGGAUGCUUCGGGUGUGGCCCCGGUCUAAGUUCCUUGGAACAGGACGUCACAGAGGGUGAGAAUCCCGUACGUGCCCGGUGGCCGCCCCCGUGUGAAGCUCCUUCGAC